UACGUAGGGGGCAAGCGUUGUCCGGAUUUAUUGGGCGUAAAGAGCGUGUAGGCGGCCAGGUAGGUCAGCUGUGAAACUCGAGGCUCAACCUCGAGACGCCGGUUGAAACCAUCUGGCUAGAGUCCGGAAGAGGAGAGUGGAAUUCCUGGUGUAGCGGUGAAAUGCGCAGAUAUCAGGAAGAACACCCGUGGCUAAGGCGGCUCUCUAGUACGGUACUGACGCUGAGACGCGAAAGCGUGGGGAGCGAACAGG
This 252-nucleotide ribosomal RNA is filed under the name uncultured bacterium. RNAcentral describes it as "partial 16S ribosomal RNA". It matches the Rfam family "Bacterial small subunit ribosomal RNA", at positions 524 to 776 of the family's 1533-position model. The record is from RNAcentral.